This 347-nucleotide unclassified non-coding RNA is filed under the name soil metagenome. Its description in RNAcentral is "partial contains 5.8S ribosomal RNA, internal transcribed spacer 2, and large subunit ribosomal RNA". The stretch from base 1 to 119 matches the Rfam family "5.8S ribosomal RNA", at positions 35 to 154 of the family's 154-position model. The record is from RNAcentral.
GAUGAAGAACGUAGCGAAAUGCGAUAAGUAAUGUGAAUUGCAGAAUUCAGUGAAUCAUCGAGUCUUUGAACGCACAUUGCGCCCCUGGUAUUCCGGGGGGCAUGCCUGUCCGAGCGUCAUUGCCGCCCUCAAGCACGGCUUGUGUGUUGGGCCCCCGCCCCCCGGCUUCGGGGGGCGGGCCCGAAAGGCAGCGGCGGCACCGCGUCCGGUCCUCGAGCGUAUGGGGCUUCGUCACCCGCUCUGUAGGCCCGGCCGGCGCCCGCCGGCGACCCCAAUCAAUCUUUCCAGGUUGACCUCGGAUCAGGUAGGGAUACCCGCUGAACUUAAGCAUAUCAAUAAGCGGAGGA